GUGAAUCAUCGAAUUUUUGAGCGCAAAUUGCACUCUCCUCGGAGAGUAUGCCUGUUUGAGGGUCAGCCUAUAAAAAAUCGACAUCGUUGCUGUUUCGCGGUGGCGUUCGUCUGAAAUUGGGUCAUCUUAAAUCUUUUGGGUUUAAGCGACUUAUAAUUUUCUUUUUGAUUCCAUGAACGUUUUUCUAAUAUUUAUUUCUUUACACGUUUAAGGUAUCGAUUUUUAUUAGACUUUACCAUCAUAUCUGAUUUCGUCUAUAGUCGUUCAUUAACUGACCUCAUACAGGUAAGAGUACCCG
Molecule: unclassified non-coding RNA, 298 nt
Filed under: Glomus sp.
Lineage: Eukaryota; Fungi; Glomeromycota; Glomeromycetes; Glomerales; Glomeraceae
Description: partial contains 5.8S ribosomal RNA and internal transcribed spacer 2
Rfam family: 5.8S ribosomal RNA (bases 1-65)
Source: RNAcentral